RNAcentral lists this ribosomal RNA (495 nucleotides) under uncultured bacterium. Its description in RNAcentral is "bacterial SSU rRNA". It matches the Rfam family "Bacterial small subunit ribosomal RNA", at positions 355 to 863 of the family's 1533-position model. The record is from RNAcentral.
UGGGGAAUCUUGGACAAUGGGGGCAACCCUGAUCCAGCCAUGCCGCGUGAGUGAUGAAGGCCUUAGGGUCGUAAAGCUCUUUCGCCUGUGAAGAUAAUGACGGUAGCAGGUAAAGAAACCCCGGCUAACUCCGUGCCAGCAGCCGCGGUAAUACGGAGGGGGUUAGCGUUGUUCGGAAUUACUGGGCGUAAAGCGCACGUAGGCGGACCAGAAAGUUGGGGGUGAAAUCCCGGGGGCUCAACCCCGGAACUGCCUCCAAAACUAUUGGUCUAGAGUUCGAGAGAGGUGAGUGGAAUUCCAAGUGUAGAGGUGAAAUUCGUAGAUAUUUGGAGGAACACCAGUGGCGAAGGCGGCUCACUGGCUCGAUACUGACGCUGAGGUGCGAAAAGUGUGGGGAGCAAAACAGGAUUAGAUACCCUGGUAGUCCACACCGUAAAACGAUGAAAUGCCAGUCGUCGGGUAGCAUGCUAUUCGGUGACACACCUAACGGAUUAA